RNAcentral lists this non-coding RNA (28 nucleotides) under Mus musculus (house mouse). Lineage: Eukaryota; Metazoa; Chordata; Mammalia; Rodentia; Muridae. The record is from RNAcentral.
GAAAAUUAUCUUUCCAAGACAGGUGUUC